Molecule: ribosomal RNA, 675 nt
Filed under: Merluccius albidus (offshore hake)
Lineage: Eukaryota; Metazoa; Chordata; Actinopteri; Gadiformes; Merlucciidae
Description: partial small subunit ribosomal RNA
Rfam family: Bacterial small subunit ribosomal RNA
Source: RNAcentral
CCACCGCGGUUAUACGAGCGGCCCAAGUUGAUAAAAAACGGCGUAAAGCGUGGUUAAAAGAAUACUAAAACUAGGGCCGAAUAGCCUCAAAGCAGUUAUACGCACUCGAGACCACGAAGUACAAUUACGAAAGUAGCUCUACCCUACUUUGACUCCACGAAAACCAUAAAACAAACUGGGAUUAGAUACCCCACUAUGUAUGGCUGUUAACAUCGAGGGCCCGAUACUCAGACCCUCCGCCUGGGGACUACGAGCACUAGCUUAAAACCCAAAGGACUUGGCGGUGCUUUACCCCCCACUAGAGGAGCCUGUUCUAGAACUGAUAACCCCCGUUGAACCUCACCAUCCCUCGUUUAACCCGCCUAUAUACCGCCGUCGUCAGCUUACCCUGUGAAGGCCAAAUAGUAAGCAAAAAUGGCUAAGCCAAAAACGUCAGGUCGAGGUGUAGUGAAUGGGAUGGGAAGAAAUGGGCUACAUUCUCUGUUACAGAGAAUACGAAUGGCAGCCUGAAAACCCUGCCUGAAGGUGGAUUUAGCAGUAAGGGGGGAAUAGAGUGCCCCCCUGAAAACGGCCCUGAAGCGCGCACACACCGCCCGUCACUCUCCCCGAAUAAUUAUAGAUAUUACCUAAAAUGUUUUACCAAACGAGGGGAGGCAAGUCGUAACAUGGUAAGCG